RNAcentral lists this ribosomal RNA (301 nucleotides) under uncultured bacterium. RNAcentral's name for it is "partial 16S ribosomal RNA". It matches the Rfam family "Bacterial small subunit ribosomal RNA", at positions 509 to 807 of the family's 1533-position model. The record is from RNAcentral.
CAGUAGCCGCGGGAAAACGUAGGGCGCAAGCGUUAUCCGGAAUUAUUGGGCGUAAAGAGCUCGUAGGCGGUUUGUCGCGUCUGCCGUGAAAGUCCGGGGCUCAACCCCGGAUCUGCGGUGGGUACGGGCAGACUAGAGUGAUGUAGGGGAGACUGGAAUUCCUGGUGUAGCGGUGAAAUGCGCAGAUAUCAGGAGGAACACCGAUGGCGAAGGCAGGUCUCUGGGCAUUAACUGACGCUGAGGAGCGAAAGCAUGGGGAGCGAACAGGAUUAGAUACCCCAGUAGUCCCUGUCUCUUAUAC